AUGCUGCACCAACUUGGCGCACCCAGGAUCAUGCUCAAGCUCGACCUCACACGCGCCUUCGACUCCAUCUCGUGGCCCUUCCUCUUUGAGGUGCUGCGCCAGUAUGGGUUUGGGGACCGAUUCCGGGAGUGGCUGGCCAUUCUGCUCUCCUCGGCAAGCACGCGGGUCAUGGUCAAUGGAGUUCCCGGCCCGCCAAUCUGGCACCACCGCGGCCUGCGACAAGGUGACUCCACCUCCCCACAACUCUUCGUGCUGGCGGUGGACACCCUUGGGAGGCUGAUGCGUCACGCCCUACAGACCGGCAUCCUUCAGCAGCUGCAUCCCCGGCGAGCCAUUCCGGCGAUCUCUCUUUACGCCGAUGAUGUGAUGCUUUUCUGCCAUGCCACUACCAAGGAGAUUGCCGCUGUCAAAGGCAUCCUGGACGUGUUCGGUACGGCUUCUGGGCUCCGGGUGAAUUACGCCAAGAGCUCGGCCAUGGUCCUUCACGCCAGCGACUACGGUGAGGGGCUGUUGGAGCCACUUGGGUGUCCCGUCGUGGCCCUGCCGGUAACUUAUCUGGGCAUCCCGCUCUCCGCUCGCCGCCCAUCCGCAGCCCAGCUGCAACCCCUCGUCGACGCAGUGGCGGGCCGGCUCCCUUCCUGGAAAGCUUGGCUGAUGAACAAAGCGGGACGGCUAGCGCUCGUCAAGUCGGUGCUUAACGCGAUACCGAUCCAUCAACUGCUAGCGCUAGCGCCUCCAAAGAAAACCCUGAAGCAACUAGAGAAGAUUCAGCGCGGGUUUCUUUGGGCCAGCCGCGCGGACGCCCAUGGUGGACACUGCCACGUCAAACUGGCGCCGGGUUUGCCGCCCGCUUAA
RNAcentral lists this ribosomal RNA (855 nucleotides) under Triticum aestivum (bread wheat). Its description in RNAcentral is "partial small subunit ribosomal RNA". The record is from RNAcentral. Lineage: Eukaryota; Viridiplantae; Streptophyta; Magnoliopsida; Poales; Poaceae.